UACGUAGGGGGCAAGCGUUGUCCGGAUUUACUGGGCGUAAAGAGCGUGUAGGCGGCCAAGCAGGUCCGUUGUGAAAACUGGAGGCUUAACCUCCAGACGUCGACGGAAACCGCGUGGCUAGAGUCCGGAAGAGGAGAGUGGAAUUCCUGGUGUAGCGGUGAAAUGCGCAGAUAUCAGGAGGAACACCAAUUGCGAAGGCAGCUCGCUGGGACGUUACUGACGCUGAGACGCGAAAGCGUGGGGAGCAAACAGG
This 253-nucleotide ribosomal RNA is filed under the name uncultured bacterium. Its description in RNAcentral is "partial 16S ribosomal RNA". It matches the Rfam family "Bacterial small subunit ribosomal RNA", at positions 524 to 776 of the family's 1533-position model. The record is from RNAcentral.